CCUACGGGAGGCAGCAGUGAGGAAUAUUGGUCAAUGGGCGCGAGCCUGAACCAGCCAAGUCGCGUGAGGGAAGACGGUCCUAUGGAUUGUAAACCUCUUUUGUCGGGGAGCAAAAGACGCCACGCGUGGCGUUCCGAGAGUACCCGAAGAAAAAGCAUCGGCUAACUCGGUGCCAGCAGCCGCGGUAAUACGGAGGAUGCGAGCGUUAUCCGGAUUUAUUGGGUUAAAAGGGUGCGCAGGCGGAAGAUCAAGUCAGCGGUAAAAUUGAGAGGCUCAACCUCUGCGAGCCGUUGAAACUGGGUGUCUUGAGUGAGCGAGAAGUAUGCGGAAUGCGUGGUGUAGCGGUGAAAUGCAUAGAUAUCACGCAGAACUCCGAUUGCGAAGGCAGCAUACCGGCGCUCAACUGACGCUCAUGCACGAAAGUGUGGGUAUCGAACAGGAUUAGAUACCCCUGUAGUC
This 459-nucleotide ribosomal RNA is filed under the name uncultured bacterium. Its description in RNAcentral is "partial 16S ribosomal RNA". It matches the Rfam family "Bacterial small subunit ribosomal RNA", at positions 338 to 795 of the family's 1533-position model. The record is from RNAcentral.